This is a long non-coding RNA of Physcomitrium patens, 1048 nucleotides long. RefSeq lists it as uncharacterized. Lineage: Eukaryota; Viridiplantae; Streptophyta; Bryopsida; Funariales; Funariaceae. The record is from RefSeq and is a predicted model, not a curated record.
UUCGGAAAGCACUAGAGUGGUUUCCUGCUCUUCUAUUUUUUCUAGUACAAGUUGGAUCUCUGAAAUUUUUGGGGCGUUCUCCUUGGUCGAUCGUGUUGCAGCGGCUGCACUAUGGUCAAGUUUUUUCUUGUUCUGUUUUCCCUUGCUCCUAGUUGCUGCAAGUGGAAGAUCCGAGAGAAGUUUUUUUCUUCUUCCUCCUUGUUCUCUGUUCCACUGGUGGCGGAGUUGUAGAGGUCGUGGCGGUUGGUUAACGGCAAAUGUUAGUCCUUGGUUUUGGGUUGCUGAUCGUUGUUUUUCUUGGCGCUAUGGGUGGUUCCAAUCUGAGGCUGUAGAGAAGCUGGUGGUUAGACGACAUGCGGCGGUGUUACAUUUGCUCAUCCAGGUUUUGUCAUUUCUGGUCUUCAAUUGGCGACGGCAGCGAGCUCGUGGUGAAGUCUUCCUCAAGCGGGGGUUGUGACGUUUUUUAUUGGGUUCUCUCACUGCGAGGAGUGGUUCCAUAUUCGUUUUUCUCCUCAGCAUUGGUUCUGGUCGCUGUGGAACAACGGCUGGUCUUCCCUUGUGGCAAAAGGUUUGGUGGCGCCGACUGUCAACAGCUUCGGAGUCCAAAUCGUUUAAUCAUCCGAAGCGUUUUCUGCCCAUUUGGAGCUUGGCACCGUUGUUGGCAGUCAGAAUCAAGAGCAGUCAUCUUCAUUGUCUCUGUAGAGCACGAACCGGAUCUGGGCUCUGCCAUCGUCAAACAUUCAUCUAUCGGCUUUGUUUUUUUUUUUCUUAAGUCUGGAUUUGCUUGAAUUGGUGACCUGCGACAUUUGCUCUACAUGUUGCAGUGCCCUGAUUACCGUCGUAGGGAAGGAGUCGGAAUGUUGGAGCAGAUCCGAGGUUGACAGGAUUGUGUAAGUGUGACUAUUGAUGCUAGGGGUUCGAAAGAGUGAACAAUUUGGAUCAUUAAUCGUUGACGAGCAAUUUCAUAAUCUUGCAGCUAGACAACGGCAGAUGUUUCAACCAUUAACACUUUACUUUAUCAUCUGUUAGAUUAUCUUGUGUUUGAUCA